GUGACCUCAAAUCAGGUAGGACUACCCGCUGAACUUAAGCAUAUCAAUAAGCGGAGGAAAAGAAACUAACAAGGAUUCCCCUAGUAACUGCGAGUGAAGCGGGAAAAGCUCAAAUUUAAAAUCUGGCGGCCUUUUUGCUGUCCGAGUUGUAAUCUAGAGAAGUGUUAUCCGCGCUGGACCGUGUACAAGUCUCCUGGAAUGGAGCAUCAUAGAGGGUGAGAAUCCCGUCUUUGACAUGGACUACCAGGGCUUUGUGAUGCGCUCUCAAAGAGUC
This 274-nucleotide ribosomal RNA is filed under the name uncultured Cortinarius. RNAcentral describes it as "partial 28S ribosomal RNA". It matches the Rfam family "Eukaryotic large subunit ribosomal RNA", at positions 1 to 266 of the family's 3401-position model. The record is from RNAcentral. Lineage: Eukaryota; Fungi; Basidiomycota; Agaricomycetes; Agaricales; Cortinariaceae.